UACGAAGGGGGCUAGCGUUGCUCGGAAUGACUGGGCGUAAAGGGUGCGUAGGCGGGUCUUUAAGUCAGGGGUGAAAUCCUGGAGCUCAACUCCAGAACUGCCUUUGAUACUGAAGAUCUUGAGUUCGGGAGAGGUGAGUGGAACUGCGAGUGUAGAGGUGAAAUUCGUAGAUAUUCGCAAGAACACCAGUGGCGAAGGCGGCUCACUGGCCCGAUACUGACGCUGAGGCACGAAAGCGUGGGGAGCAAACAGG
RNAcentral lists this ribosomal RNA (253 nucleotides) under uncultured bacterium. Its description in RNAcentral is "partial 16S ribosomal RNA". It matches the Rfam family "Bacterial small subunit ribosomal RNA", at positions 524 to 776 of the family's 1533-position model. The record is from RNAcentral.